Molecule: ribosomal RNA, 439 nt
Filed under: uncultured bacterium
Lineage: Bacteria
Description: partial 16S ribosomal RNA
Rfam family: Bacterial small subunit ribosomal RNA
Source: RNAcentral
CCUACGGGGGGCAGCAGUGGGGAAUAUUGCACAAUGGGCGAAAGCCUGAUGCAGCAACGCCGCGUGAGCGAUGAAGGCCUUCGGGUCGUAAAGCUCUGUCCUCAAGGAAGAUAAUGACGGUACUUGAGGAGGAAGCCCCGGCUAACUACGUGCCAGCAGCCGCGGUAAUACGUAGGGGGCUAGCGUUAUCCGGAAUUACUGGGCGUAAAGGGUGCGUAGGUGGUUUCUUAAGUCAGAGGUGAAAGGCUACGGCUCAACCCGGGCCGGCCGUUGAAACUGGGGAUCUUGAGUGGGCGAGAAGUAUGCGGAAUGCGUGGUGUAGCGGUGAAAUGCAUAGAUAUCACGCAGAACUCCGAUUGCGAAGGCAGCAUACCGGCGCCCGACUGACGCUGAGGCACGAAAGCGUGGGGAUCGAACAGGAUUAGAUACCCCGGUAGUC